GAAAGAGAAAUGCCUACACUGUGCUUUUAUUGUGUGAAAAGGAGUAUUAUGAGUGGCCAGUAGGUGCCAGUGUCUGCUUUGAACCACAGAGAGGGUGAGAGUGCAAAAAAUAGAGUCUGAGAGAGAGAGAGACACACAUUCUUACCAUUUCAAAACACGCCCAUUACAAACUCAUAAUUGUUCCAUUAACACACCAUGUUUAAUCCCAACGCCCAUUUGAUAGCCCUCACUGCAGUGUCCAGCAUAGUAUGUCAUACAUGUUCAAUUGCACUGCAGACAUUAGGAGAUAUUUUCUGUUUGGUCAUGUCAGAUAUGAGCGGAGUGUUUAAAAUCGCUAUGUAAAAUUCACUUAAAUUUACUACCACUUAGACCAUCGUCAGAGCUGUGUGUUUAGUGGGGUAGCGUACUUCUGAUGGGGCCCCUGCACCCAUCUGUUUUUAGAGGCAUAAGCAUGCUGUCUGGAGCAUAACAACUGGAGUGCUCUGUAAUCUGGCUAAAUGCCUACUGGCCAUCCAGACACAUGCAGCAGGUAUCUGCAUUUUGUUCUGUAAGAGGGCAAGUCACAUAGUAAGGCAUGAGACUACUCAACACCACUUUUUUGUCUUCGCUCAUCUCUCACUCUCUUGCUCUGUCCAUUCCCUCUUUUUUGUUCUUUCACUCUUGUCACCAAGUCUCCUUCACCACCUGACAUUUGUGUUUAGACAAUGUGUUUAUGUAAUGUCUGGUAGGUCAAUUUGUGUGGCCUGUAUACGGUCCAGGUCCUGACUUUGAAAAGUCUUUUUGCGGAAGCUGCAUGUUUCAUUUAUUAACACUGAAAGGGCCAAACCAUUUCUGUUUUUUCCACUGAGAUUUAGGUUAGGGUUAGAUUUAAGCUUACAAAAAGUAUUUGACUGUCUUAAUUAUCUGUAAAAAUAUGUAAAGCCAUAUAUCUUGGUUAAAAAGAACGCUUAACAGUAGAACAAAUACAGAUAACAGUACAUUGUGGUUUGUGAUUUUAUGUGUCAGUGAGUUGGUUUAACCAUUUUCAAACCUUGAGGAAGCCCACCAUUUACAGUUACCAUUCAGUGCUUAGCUCUGGUAGUCAGUACUUCAUUAAAUUAAAGUCUGCUGAUGGAAUUUAACAAAUGCAUGAAAUAACUGGAGUUCACUUAGCAGUCAGGAACAAAACUUGUAGUACAUGAAAUUUCUUCAGACUUUAAUGCUUUUGUGUAAUGUUAUAUUUAUUCUUAUGUUAAAUUGUAUUUUACAUUUGCACGGUACUUUUGUGUAGUUAAUUUUGAUUAAUUGUGUUCAAAUUGUUUUCAUUUAAAAGCAGUACAUUUUAUUAUAGCUGUAUAAGUGGACCAAAGCUUCAUCAGUAGGUAUUUAUAACUUUUAGUAAUGCAGGAUCAUCAUUUUCAUCAUGCAAAGUUUGUAUGAACUGAACAUGAAAAUCAUGUGAAAGCUGGGUGUACAAAAAACUUGGGUAAAGGUAGUUUCCAGUUAUUAUCACUGAUGUCUAGUGAAGGCAGCAGUGGGUGAAUGUUUCAACCACUGUUGAAUCUUGUUUAAGGGGAAUUGUAGCUUUUCUAUUUGCUAUUGCUUUUGUCAGUUUGCUCCUCAUUGAUUUGUCAGUAGUUCUGUCAUAAGCACUGUGCAGUGCCAUCUGCCAAAUUAUUAAUAUUGCUAGCAUCAGCAGUGUUUUUUCACUGCUAAAAGAUACUCAGUGUACUUUGGUGAUGAACAGACAAUGUAGUAGCUGUACGUAACUUGUUUUAUCAAGGCAGCCAUCAAUGGAACUGCAGAAGACUGCAGUUAACAUUGCAACAAAUGGUUCUACCGUCUAACCCAUAGACUGUGGAGGUGGGGGGGGGAGUGCAGCAAAAACGUUUCUGACGCCCUCUGGUGGCUGACUGCAGUACAACUUUUAACCGUGUCCGUUCCCAUGAACGUGAAUCCAACUAAAACUAGUAAAACUAAAAAUAUAAAAAGUAUACACAUCCAGUGAUUUUUAGGUGUUGUAAAAUCUACAAGCUUCUGUGCCUCUAAAACAUAUCCCAGUAUUUUUUUCCACAAUAGAUUCAUUUUAGAGAAGUCUGGGGAUAUUUAAAAGGUUCUGGCGACGAGGUGAUUGACAGCUAUGUGCUGAGUUGAUGGACAGCUUCUUGAACGAGCAGGCACUCUUCGUUUCUCUACAGCCUGGACCACAAGCGAACACAGCACAGCGAUUGGCUCUGCCUGACAUCAGUAUUGAUAACUUUGAAUGCUCAUUUAGAGCAUUUUGAAGUAAAGAGGUUUCUGAUUGGACAGUACACUGUUCUGAUAGAUCCUCGAUUGGAAGUUCUUCACAGUUGUUUUCGGAAAAUGGUCAUCUGAAGAGCACAGCAGUUCCUUCCAUUUAUGCUGUCUACAUAUGUGGUGAUUCCUACCAUUAGGGACGUGCAAGACUAUGCAGGUCUCCGCCGGUUUUUCUGGUAAUGGCAAACACUAUGAUCUACAUCUCAGAGGACCUCUUCAUCUCUGCAGCAAGGUCCAGACUACUCAGAUGUUCCAGGUCCUUGCUGCUCUAGUGGAUGAGCAGGACAUCAAAGGCAAAGGGGAGUAGGACAUGCCGCGCCUUUACACUGUAUGCCAAACCAACACCAGGGGUGGAGAGCUCUGGUCCUGGAGGGCUGGAUUCCUGCGGAGUAUGAUGAGUUCCUUGCUGAAACUCACUUAAUUCUACUCAGCAAUUAGUUACCAGGUUUAGUUGGCAUGUUAUGCAACUUUCAAGAGAGAGUUGAGUGGGACUUUAUUCCAAGAAGGCAGCACAAUGUGCGUGUUCAUGUGGUUAUUUGAGAGAUAAAAAGAACAGAGGUUGUAAAAUGGUUGUUCCCGUUUAUUAGCUUGCUAGCAUCUGUAGAUGUUGGGCAGUUUUACUGUUUUGAAUCAUACAGAACAGAAAUAAAAUGUGGGUUAACUAUAUUUUUAAAAUUCACUUUACCAUUUAUUAUAUCUGUAUAUGUUCUCUGAUUGCUUUGUCUUGUUGGACUGUUUAUCCAUUAUAAUGGUAAAUGUCUGACAUCAUGCGUCAAUCUGUAGUCUGUCAUGUCUAUAUCCGGGAUUUAGGCCUAUGCAGGAUUUCUGUAUGACUAAAAUGAAUGUGAUUUUUGAAAACCAACACCAUCACUCCCUGUUGUGAACAGAGAGGUUUCAAACCCGAUACCGAUGUACAGCAGUGAUUUUUGGAAAUUCCAUUCAUUUUUUUUCCACAGAAAAAUCUGGCUUAGGCCUGGAGUUUCUAAUUUGGACAAUGUCACCCACAGAAUGACGACAUACCAUCAGUGGUCUUUGAACCUGUGAAUUCAGGCCAAAGUCAAGCCCCAUGGUUUUCUUCACUUCGACUUUCCCAUGGUGGAUGUUACUGUCUCCUAUGAACCAGUGUUUUGGGGCUUGUCGAUAAAUACAUUGCAAUUUAUUGUUUUACAGUUUUCCACAGUGUGUUUCUGAAAAGAAUAUGCAGGUGUAUA
Pygocentrus nattereri (red-bellied piranha) is the source of this 3488-nucleotide long non-coding RNA. RefSeq lists it as uncharacterized. Lineage: Eukaryota; Metazoa; Chordata; Actinopteri; Characiformes; Serrasalmidae. The transcript has 3 exons. The record is from RefSeq and is a predicted model, not a curated record.